UAAGGAAUAUUGGUCAAUGGACGCAAGUCUGAACCAGCCAUGCCGCGUGAAGGAUUAAGGCCCUCUGGGUUGUAAACUUCUUUUAUAGGGGAAGAAAUGUGACGGUUCUCCGUCACUUGACGGUACCCUGGGAAUAAGCACCGGCUAACUCCGUGCCAGCAGCCGCGGUAAUACGGAGGGUGCAAGCGUUAUCCGGAUUCACUGGGUUUAAAGGGUGCGUAGGUGGGCAGAUAAGUCAGUGGUGAAAUCUUCCGGCUUAACCGGGAAACUGCCGUUGAUACUAUUUGUCUUGAAUAUUGCGGAGGUCAGCGGAAUAUGUCAUGUAGCGGUGAAAUGCUUAGAUAGGACAUAGAACACCAAUUGCGAAGGCAGCUUACCACACAAUCAUUGACACUGAGGCACGAAAGCGUGGGUAGCGAACA
This 422-nucleotide ribosomal RNA is filed under the name uncultured bacterium. RNAcentral describes it as "bacterial SSU rRNA". It matches the Rfam family "Bacterial small subunit ribosomal RNA", at positions 355 to 774 of the family's 1533-position model. The record is from RNAcentral.